GAUGAACGCUGGCGGCGUGCCUAAAACAUGCAAGUCGAGCGGCAGCGAGUUCCUCGCUAAUGUUCGGAUUUGUUUACCAAUGAUGCAAGUAAUUUAGUCAGAGUAACAAAGUAACGACUAGUUGUUUAAGUUAAAAGGUAGAUUUAAUAUUCCGGAUAUGAGCGAGGAAUGUCGGCGAGCGGCGGACGGCUGAGUAGCGCGUAGGAACAUACCCCAAAGUGAGGCAUAACCGCCCGAAAGGGUGGCUAAUACCGCAUAUUGUCUUCGGAUGAAAGCUUUUAGCGCUUUGGGAAUGGCCUGCGUUUGAUUAGCUAGUUGGUGAGGUAAGGGCUUACCAAGGCGAUGAUCAAUAGCUGGUUUGAGAGAAUGAUCAGCCAGACUGGAACUGAGACACGGUCCAGACUCCUACGGGAGGCAGCAGUUGGGAAUUUUCCACAAUGGGCGAAAGCCUGAUGGAGCAACGCCGCGUGCAGGAAGAAUGCUUCGGUGUAA
RNAcentral lists this ribosomal RNA (492 nucleotides) under uncultured bacterium. RNAcentral's name for it is "bacterial SSU rRNA". It matches the Rfam family "Bacterial small subunit ribosomal RNA", at positions 28 to 425 of the family's 1533-position model. The record is from RNAcentral.